AGUCAUAUCACACUGCAACACAAAUUCCUGUAUGUUCACUGAAGUUAAGCAACUUUGAGCCUGGUCAGUACUUAGAUGGGUGACUGCUAGGGAAUGUCAGGUGUUGUAAG
Acanthosepion pharaonis is the source of this 110-nucleotide non-coding RNA. Lineage: Eukaryota; Metazoa; Mollusca; Cephalopoda; Sepiida; Sepiidae. The record is from the annotation of a GenBank genome assembly.